UUCUGGUUUAUAUUUGUAUUAUAGCCUACACAUAGAUUUAUUUUUCUGUUUUUAAAUUUUUAAUUUCCACUGUUUUGUUGAAAACAUAUAGUUUUUUUGUUCAUUUGUUUUGCUUUUUAGGAAAGUAUCACCCUAUGUACAUUGUGCUAGGUUUUUACCUUCAUGUACAGGACAAACUUAAAUUUGAAAUCCUAGGUCUCCGAGGACCGUGAGAUAAUGAAACAGGGGAUUCUGGAAUAUUGAAUAUGGUGUUUCUUCUUCAUGGAAAAGGGUGGGAGAUCUGUGCUGCAUCCACUGUCUUGGACACCCCAAAGGAAAGCUCAAUCUUACUGAUACAAUGAACUGACAGGUGAGACCUCACAGUCUCCAUCAAUCAUGCCUAAAUCAGCUGAAAUGCUGCUAUUGCUCUUUGGGGAGCAGCAGUUCAGCAGAGGAGCUGCCUCCAAUAGACAAUGAGGAAAUCACCUUUGCUAAUUGAGCCUUUCCUAAGAGAAUUGACAAGUUUGUGCUAAAAGCAGAUAGCCCUCUCCAUCUCUCCAGGAAGGGACAAAAUGGAUGGACAAGAAGACCAAUAGAUAUUGGAUCACCAUCAUAUCCCUACCUGCAUUUACUGCCCUCACAAAUCCAUAUGAAAGUAGAGUAAACUUGCUGGGCGUGGUGGCUCAUGCCUGUAAUCCCAGCACUUUGGGAGGCCGAGACUGGCGGAUCACCUGAGGUCGGGAGUUCGAGACCAGCCUGACCAACAUGGGAAAACCCCGUCUCUACUAAAAAUACAAAAUUAGCUGGGCAUGGUGGCACAUGCCUGUAAUCCCAGCUACUCGGGAGGCUGAGGCAGGAGAAUUGCUUGAACCCGGGAGGUGGAGGUUGUGGUGAGCCGAGAUCACGCCAUUGCACUCCAGCCUGGACGGCAAGAGCGAAACGCCAUUAAAAAAAAAAAAAAAAAAAAAACAAAAAAAAUGAAGUGACAAAG
Molecule: long non-coding RNA, 970 nt
Filed under: Homo sapiens (human)
Lineage: Eukaryota; Metazoa; Chordata; Mammalia; Primates; Hominidae
Description: HSALNT0348421
Source: RNAcentral